CAGCCGCCACGGGAAUACGAAGGGUGCAAGCGUUACUCGGAAUUACUGGGCGUAAAGCGUGCGUAGGUGGUGGUUUAAGUCCGUUGUGAAAGCCCUGGGCUCAACCUGGGAAUUGCAGUGGAUACUGGGUCACUAGAGUGUGGUAGAGGAUAGUGGAAUUUCCGGUGUAGCAGUGAAAUGCGUAGAGAUCGGAAGGAACAUCUGUGGCGAAGGCGACUAUCUGGGCCAACACUGACACUGAGGCACGAAAGCGUGGGGAGCAAACAGGAUUAGAUACCCGGGUAGUCCCUGUCUCUUAUAC
This 301-nucleotide ribosomal RNA is filed under the name uncultured bacterium. Its description in RNAcentral is "partial 16S ribosomal RNA". It matches the Rfam family "Bacterial small subunit ribosomal RNA", at positions 509 to 807 of the family's 1533-position model. The record is from RNAcentral.